AGAGUUUGAUCCUGGCUCAGAUUGAACACUCGCCGCAUGCCUUACACAUGCAAGUCGAACGGCAGCACGGGGGCAACCCUGGUGGCGAGUGGCGAACGGGUGAGUAACAUAUCGGAACGUGCCCUGGAGUGGGGGAUAACUAGUCGAAAGACUAGCUAAUACCGCAUACGAUCUACGGAUGAAAGUGGGGGAUCGCAAGACCUCAUGCUCGUGGAGCGGCCGAUAUCUGAUUAGCUAGUUGGUGGGGUAAAGGCCUACCAAGGCAUCGAUCAGUAGCUGGUCUGAGAGGACGACCAGCCACACUGGGACUGAGACACGGCCCAGACUCCUACGGGAGGCAGCAGUGGGGAAUUUUGGACAAUGGGCGCAAGCCUGAUCCAGCAAUGCCGCGUGAGUGAAGAAGGCCUUCGGGUUGUAAAGCUCUUUUGUCAGGGAAGAAACGGUGGGAGCUAAUACCUUCUGCUAAUGACGGUACC
Molecule: ribosomal RNA, 476 nt
Filed under: uncultured Oxalobacteraceae bacterium
Lineage: Bacteria; Pseudomonadati; Pseudomonadota; Betaproteobacteria; Burkholderiales; Oxalobacteraceae
Description: bacterial SSU rRNA
Rfam family: Bacterial small subunit ribosomal RNA
Source: RNAcentral